RNAcentral lists this unclassified non-coding RNA (223 nucleotides) under Hevea brasiliensis (rubber tree). Lineage: Eukaryota; Viridiplantae; Streptophyta; Magnoliopsida; Malpighiales; Euphorbiaceae. The record is from RNAcentral.
CUUUAUAUACAUAUCAUACAUCCCCCUAAUGACAAAUUUCUGAGCAUGGGAUCAAGUUGAGUAACAUGAUCUUCCACUUGCUAUUUCAUGAAACUAUUCAAUAAUGGGCAGACUCAAGUCAAAACUCAUCACAAAAUUAUCAACUUAUUAAUCCCAUUAUAGAAGAUGGAACAAGGCAGAAACUAAGCAUCAAUGCAUUGAAUUUUGAUGCUUACUACUAGCC